AUACGGAGGAUCCGAGCGUUAUCCGGAUUUAUUGGGUUUAAAGGGUGCGCAGGCGGCCAUUUAAGUCAGCGGUUAAAUCGUGGGGCUCAACCCCAUUCUGCCGUUGAUACUGGGUGGCUUGAUUGCGGUCGAGGUUGGCGGAAUUCGUUGUGUAGCGGGGAAAUGCAUAGAUAUGACGAAGAACACCGAUUGCGUAGGCAGCUGACCAGACCGCAAAUGACGCUCAUGCACGAAAGUGCGGGGAUCGAACAGGAUUAGAUACCCUGGUAGUCCGCACAGUAAAUGAUGAAUACUUGUUUUCGGCGAUAUAAUGUCGGAGGCAAAGCGAAAGCGAUAAGUAUUCCACCUGGGGAGUACGCCGGCAACGGUGAAACUCAAAUGAAUUGACGGGG
Molecule: ribosomal RNA, 392 nt
Filed under: uncultured bacterium
Lineage: Bacteria
Description: partial 16S ribosomal RNA
Rfam family: Bacterial small subunit ribosomal RNA
Source: RNAcentral